UGACCCCCGCCCACCCUUAGCGAC
This 24-nucleotide transfer RNA is filed under the name Lucifuga sp. MFP 18.000201. RNAcentral describes it as "partial transfer RNA-Lys". The record is from RNAcentral. Lineage: Eukaryota; Metazoa; Chordata; Actinopteri; Ophidiiformes; Bythitidae.